ACGGCCCACCAAGACGACGACGGGUAGCCGGCCUGAGAGGGUGGACGGCCACACUGGAACUGAGACACGGUCCAGACUCCUACGGGAGGCAGCAGUGCUGAAUUAUUCGCCAAUGCGCGAAAGCGUGACGGUGCGACGCCGCGUGCGGGACGAAGGCCUUCGGGUUGUAAACCGCUGUCAGGGAUUAGAAAACCCAUGUGGUUAAUAGCCAUGUGGUUGAUCAUUCCCAAAGGAAGCACAGGCUAAUCUCGUGCCAGCAGCCGCGGUAAUACGAGAUGUGCGAGCGUUGUUCGGAAUCACUGGGCAUAAAGGGUGCGUAGGCGGUGCGCUCAGUCGGGUGUGAAAUCCCUUCGCUUAACGAAGGAACUGCACUCGAUACUAGCGCGCUAGAGGGUCAAAGGGGCAAGCGGAAUUCUAGGUGUAGCGGUGGAAUGCGUAGAUAUCUGGGAGAACGCCAAGGGCGAAGGCAGCUUGCUGGGUGACAACUGACGCUGAGGCACGAAAGCUAGGGGAGCAAACAGGAUUAGAUACCCUGGUAGUCCUAGCCGUAAACGAUGAGCACUUUGUUCCGGGAAGCCUGAUCUUCUCGGAGCCGUAGCAAAUGUGUUAAGUGCUCCGCCUGGGGAGUAUGGUCGCAAGGCUAAAACUCAAAGGAAUUGACGGGGGCUCACACAAGCGGAGGAGCAUGUUGUUCAAUUCGAAGCAACGCGAAGAACCUUACCUGGCCUUGACAUGCUGGCAGUAGAAUCCUGAAAGGGGGACGAACCGUAAAAUCGGUAACCAGCACAGGUGCUGCAUGGCUGUCGUCAGCUCGUGUCGUGAGACGUUGGGUUAAGUCCCGUAACGAGCGAAACCCUUGUCGUCUGUUGCUACCAGGUUAUGCUGGGCACUCUGACGAGACUGCCGGUGUUAAACCGGAGGAAGGUGGGGACGACGUCAAGUCAUCAUGGUCCUUACGGCCAGGGCUACAAACGUGCUACAAUGGCGGGUACAGAGAGACGCAAUGCGGCGACGCGGAGCAAAUCUUCAAAACCCGCCCCAGUUCGGAUUGGAGGCUGCAAUUCGCCUCCAUGAAGUUGGAUUCGCUAGUAAUCGCGGGUCAGCCACACCGCGGUGAAUACGUUCCUGAGCCUUGUACACACCGCCCGUCAAGCCACCCAAGCUGGAAGCACCCGAAG
This 1178-nucleotide ribosomal RNA is filed under the name termite gut metagenome. RNAcentral's name for it is "bacterial SSU rRNA". It matches the Rfam family "Bacterial small subunit ribosomal RNA", at positions 260 to 1426 of the family's 1533-position model. The record is from RNAcentral.